RNAcentral lists this ribosomal RNA (253 nucleotides) under uncultured bacterium. RNAcentral's name for it is "partial 16S ribosomal RNA". It matches the Rfam family "Bacterial small subunit ribosomal RNA", at positions 524 to 776 of the family's 1533-position model. The record is from RNAcentral.
UACGGGGGGGGCAAGCGUUGUUCGGAAUUACUGGGCGUAAAGGGUCUGUAGGUGGCCAACUAAGUCAGACGUGAAAUCCCUCAGCUUAACUGGGGAACUGCGUCUGAUACUGGUUGGCUUGAGUGCAGGAGAGGAAUGCGGAAUUCCAGGUGUAGCGGUGAAAUGCGUAGAUAUCUGGAGGAACACCGGUGGCGAAGGCGGCAUUCUGGACUGCAACUGCCACUGAAAGACGAAAGCCAGGGGAGCAAACGGG